Non-coding RNA from Paramuricea clavata, 139 nucleotides. Lineage: Eukaryota; Metazoa; Cnidaria; Anthozoa; Malacalcyonacea; Plexauridae. The record is from the annotation of a GenBank genome assembly.
UUUGAAUGUCCGUCUUCAGGCGACAACUGUUGUUAAAUUCAAAAAAUUUGAAUGUCCGUCUUCAGGCGACAACUGUUGUUAAAUUCAAAAAGAUUUUUUGAAUUUAACAACAGUUGUCGCCUGAAGACGGACAUUCAAA